This 765-nucleotide ribosomal RNA is filed under the name uncultured Treponema sp. Its description in RNAcentral is "bacterial SSU rRNA". It matches the Rfam family "Bacterial small subunit ribosomal RNA", at positions 28 to 776 of the family's 1533-position model. Lineage: Bacteria; Pseudomonadati; Spirochaetota; Spirochaetia; Treponematales; Treponemataceae. The record is from RNAcentral.
AACGAACGCUGGCGGCGCGUCUUAAGCAUGCAAGUCGAACGGCAAGAGAGGAGCUUGCUUCUCUCCUAGAGUGGCGGACUGGUGAGGAACACGUGGGUAAUCUACCCUUAAGAUGGGGAUAGCUGCUAGAAAUAGCAGGUAAUACCGAAUACACUCGGCAUAUCACAAGAGGUGUUGAGGAAAGGAAGCUACGGCUUCGCUUGAGGAUGAGCUUGCGUCCCAUUAGCUAGUUGGUGAGGUAAAGGCCCACCAAGGCGACGAUGGGUAUCCGGCCUGAGAGGGUGAACGGACACAUUGGGACUGAGAUACGGCCCAAACUCCUACGGGAGGCAGCAGCUAAGAAUAUUCCGCAAUGGACGGAAGUCUGACGGAGCGACGCCGCGUGGAUGAAGAAGGCUGAAAAGUUGUAAAAUCCUUUUGUUGAUGAAGAAUAAGGGUGAGAGGGAAUGCUCAUCUGAUGACGGUAAUCGACGAAUAAGCCCCGGCUAAUUACGUGCCAGCAGCCGCGGUAACACGUAAGGGGCGAGCGUUGUUCGGAAUUAUUGGGCGUAAAGGGCAUGUAGGCGGCUAUGUAAGCCUGAUGUGAAAUCCUGGGGCUUAACCCUAGAAUAGCAUUGGGUACUGUAUAGCUUGAAUUACGGAAGGGAAACUGGAAUUCCAAGUGUAGGGGUGGAAUCUGUAGAUAUUUGGAAGAACACCGGUGGCGAAGGCGGGUUUCUGGCCGAUAAUUGACGCUGAGAUGCGAAAGUGUGGGGAUCGAACAGG